GAUGAACGCUGGCGGCGUGCCUAAUACAUGCAAGUCGAGCGAACAGACGAGGAGCUUGCUCCUCUGACGUUAGCGGCGGACGGGUGAGUAACACGUGGAUAACCUACCUAUAGGACUGGGAUAACUUCGGGAAACCGGAGCUAAUACCGGAUAAUAUAUUGAACCGCAUGGUUCAAUAGUGAAAGACGGUUUUGCUGUCACUUAUAGAUUGAUCCGCGCCGCAUUAGCUAGUUGGUAAGGUAACGGCUUACCAAGGCAACGAUGCGUAGCCGACCUGAGAGGGUGAUCGGCCACACUGGAACUGAGACACGGUCCAGACUCCUACGGGAGGCAGCAGUAGGGAAUAUUCCGCAAUGGGCGAAAGCCUGACGGAGCAACGCCGCGUGAGUGAUGAAGGUCUUCGGAUCGUAAAACUCUGUUAUUAGGGAAGAACAAAUGUGUAAGUAACUAUGCACGUCUUGACGGUACCUAAUCAGAAAGCCACGGCUAACUACGUG
This 497-nucleotide ribosomal RNA is filed under the name uncultured bacterium. Its description in RNAcentral is "partial 16S ribosomal RNA". It matches the Rfam family "Bacterial small subunit ribosomal RNA", at positions 28 to 507 of the family's 1533-position model. The record is from RNAcentral.